AUUCUGGAGCUAUGUCCAAACAGCAGGAAUCAGAGUCGUCUAAACCAGAGUGCAGUGGAAAGAGCCAUCUGCAGUUGGAAGACAAAGAACACUGCCUUAAUGAAGAUGACAACACCGGUAAGCAGGAGGCUAGCCGAUUAUUGGACCAAACCAAAUCAUUUCUUCACCUGCAAGAUGUUCUUCAAGAGGAUGCCGUUAAUGCUGAUGAUAGAAACUCUUGCCAAAGCGUAAGUGAGGAGAAAAGAA
Long non-coding RNA from Castor canadensis (American beaver), 246 nucleotides. The record is from Ensembl. Lineage: Eukaryota; Metazoa; Chordata; Mammalia; Rodentia; Castoridae.